AGUGUACCUACACACACUUCAGAUCCUUUACCUCACUCAAGGCUGAGCUUGAGAGCGAAAAAGACUUUUAAACAUUUAAUGUCAUGGAAGAGAGUAUUAUCACGCCAUUUCUUCAGACCAGGAAUUUGCAUGUCAGAAUUUGCACCAUUGUGUUUCUUCUAACCUGUGGAGAUGUUACCAAGUCAUAUGAGAGAAAUAUUCUACACCAGAUGAACAGAACUGCUGUUAAGGGGGAAACUGUUAUUUUACACUGCAAUGGAACUCUCUCCAGUGGAAAUAUAGACAUUGGUUGGCGUAAAGACGGGAAUGUUCUUUUUAACUACAGCCCAGUUAAAAACCAAACUGCGACCAACUACACAUCAAGCAGGAUGCAGGUUGAUCCCCGAAAUCCAAGAAAACUACAGAUAUCUGAUGUACAGCUUUCAGAUGCAGGAUUAUACUCAUGUUUUCCAUUAGACAUGCAGUGGAUAUUGACCAUAGAGGGUAAUUCUUUUGGCCAAAAUAGUGUUUUUCUGCCCAUGAUAACUCACUUACUUUCAGAAACUGCUUUAUCCAGGCCAGGGUCAUGGUGAAUCCAGAGCCUAUCCCAGGAACACUGGGCGUGAGACAGUUAAUGCAGAGACGAAGUCACUGACACAAAAAAUGCUACUCUACAUACUUCCCUCAGUUACAGGAGCUGUUGCAAUCUGCCUCAUUAUCUUCUGUGCUGUGUGUAUUCACAGGAAAUGGAAAAGGAAAGUGGCAUCUGAUCACAGAGAUACAGUAGAUGACCGUCAACCACGUGGAAGAAGAAUGAACCACAAUCGGAGCAGCCAGUAUUUUGAGAGAUUUAACUCAGUUUAUGGACAAUUUCAGAUCUGAAGAUUUCUCAAGAAUAUUCCAGGGCACAGAACUGCAAAGGUGAAUAUUUCAUACCUGAUGUUUAUGUGGAACUGACACUGCAUGUCCAGAUUAUCCUGUUUUAUACAUGAUGCUCUUCUGGAAAAUGAUGAUGUGAACAUCAGACAGUCUGCACAGUACACAUUAAGUUGUAAUCCUGAUGAACAAUUACAGAGUCAGCUGAUAUGAAAAUUGACAGUUAUGCCUGUUUCUUUAUUUGUGACCAUUUAGAAGAUUAUCCAUUAGGAUUAUGUUCAGUCAAUAUUAUAUACAUACAUAUAUACACUCACUAUCCACUUUAUUAGGAUAACCUGUAACACCUGCACAUUCAUUCAAUUAUCUAAUCAGCAAAUCAUGGCAGCAGUGCAAUGCAAAUCAUGCAGAUACAGGUCAGGAGCUUCAAGUAAAUUUUCACAUCAAACAUCAGAAUGGGGAAAAAGUGUAAUCUCAGUGACUUUAACUGUGGCAUGGUUGGUGGUACCAGAUGGGCUGGUUAGAGUAUUUCAGAAACUGCUGAUCUCCUGGGAUUUUCACACACAACAGUCUCUAUAGUUUACAAAAAAAAAAAAAAAAACAUUGAGUGAGCAACAGU
RNA transcript from Pangasianodon hypophthalmus (striped catfish), 1471 nucleotides. RefSeq lists it as uncharacterized. The transcript has 6 exons. NCBI's taxonomy places the organism in Eukaryota, Metazoa, Chordata, Actinopteri, Siluriformes, Pangasiidae. The record is from RefSeq and is a predicted model, not a curated record.